Molecule: unclassified non-coding RNA, 357 nt
Filed under: Hevea brasiliensis (rubber tree)
Lineage: Eukaryota; Viridiplantae; Streptophyta; Magnoliopsida; Malpighiales; Euphorbiaceae
Source: RNAcentral
AAAAAUAUUAAAGAAAUAAAAAGCUCGACAUUCUCUUGUUCGAUUAUUCAUAGAUUGGGUGUGUGUAAUAGUUUCGUGGGAUUAAGAGAAAUUCAAUAAUUUUUUUCUGUAGGGAUUAAACUUUCAAUUUUCUUAACUUUUCGUGUGGGUGGGAUGAGAGGGAGGAAUGAUGGAUGAGCUUUUUCGUAAGAAAAUAAGUGGGGUGGUUUGGUUUCUGCUGUUUUAGGCUGUAUGUAUGUGGGAAGAACAACAAAUGUUAUUGUUCUUGGUUCUAUUGUUGCAACAGCAGCUUGCUGGAGCUGUUCACAGUAUACAUGUCCUGCUUUACUGUAACAGGCGGCACUUAGCUUUAGAAAU